Molecule: transfer RNA, 99 nt
Organism: Sugiyamaella lignohabitans
Lineage: Eukaryota; Fungi; Ascomycota; Dipodascomycetes; Dipodascales; Trichomonascaceae
Rfam family: tRNA
About the family: Transfer RNA (tRNA) molecules are approximately 80 nucleotides in length. Their secondary structure includes four short double-helical elements and three loops (D, anti-codon, and T loops). Further hydrogen bonds mediate the characteristic L-shaped molecular structure. tRNAs have two regions of fundamental functional importance: the anti-codon, which is responsible for specific mRNA codon recognition, and the 3' end, to which the tRNAs corresponding amino acid is attached (by aminoacyl-tRNA synthetases). tRNAs cope with the degeneracy of the genetic code in two manners: having more than one tRNA (with a specific anti-codon) for a particular amino acid; and 'wobble' base-pairing, i.e. permitting non-standard base-pairing at the 3rd anti-codon position.
Source: Rfam
GGCACUAUGGCCGAGCGGUUAAGGCGAAAGACUUGAAUACCUAUGGGUUCAGGCAUCUUUUGGGAUUCUCCCUCGCAGGUUCGAGUCCUGCUGGUGUCG